UUUUUUUUAUCUGCGCGAUCAGGAUUAUGCCGCUUCAGCGUCAGGUUUACGCGUUUGGAAACCAGCCCUUUAUUUUGGGAAGAGACACCAAGGAGGUCACAUCCAAAGAUCAUCUUAAAAAUCAACUAUGAAUACUAAGAAAAUAAUUACACCUGGAGUUGCCAUAUUCAGAGAGAUGUUACAUGCCUUUGGAAAUUCCUAAUGGCUCCUGAAAAUGCCGUUGUCAUCAUUGGCUGACAAAGGUUGCCUCCAGAAAUGUAGGAGGAAUUAAAGCGUGUACCAGAAAUUAAGGGGUGUGGAGAGUUUGCUGGGCGGGGAGAGAAGCAACCAGAGUAGGUGAUGCCCAAAGCAUUCCCCCCCCCCCAAUCCAGUUGUGCUCCUGGACCAAAAAGGUUGGCCAAGUGAAAUAUUUCCUUCUGAACUGGAAGAUUGCAGAACCUUCCGCAGACGUUACUAGUGGGUAGAUAGAUAUAAAAAACUUUAAACAUGGUGGCUGUUAAUGUGGAGAUCCAGUCAAGUCUAUGACAAAUUAUGUCCCACGCACUAACAUUCAAUGGAUCCUUCAACUGAGGUUCAGAUUUGCUCCGCUGUGACCCAGUGGAACAGGGAAGAAAACUUAACCAGUAGAAUCACAGACUCGGCACUGAAACUAAUCACUCGGAGCAAAAGUUGGUGUGGAUGAACCCUAAACCUCUCCUGAACUUUGCUGUCAGAUAAAAGUGGGAGUUAGGGCAAUCUCAUACACAGAAGUGAAAGAAUGUUUAUCAUGUAUGCAUUUAGCAACCAAGUCAGAUUCGUUUUUGUAUGCACGUUUAUAUGUGAUAGCAUUAUUAUAUUGUAUUAUUUUAAUGGAAGCAUUGGGAAUCCUUCUGGAUCCAAAGGUGGGACAAACAUCAAAUAAAUAUGUU
Long non-coding RNA from Podarcis muralis (Common wall lizard), 908 nucleotides. RefSeq lists it as uncharacterized. NCBI's taxonomy places the organism in Eukaryota, Metazoa, Chordata, Lepidosauria, Squamata, Lacertidae. The record is from RefSeq and is a predicted model, not a curated record.